Molecule: ribosomal RNA, 846 nt
Filed under: uncultured bacterium
Lineage: Bacteria
Description: bacterial SSU rRNA
Rfam family: Bacterial small subunit ribosomal RNA
Source: RNAcentral
GCAGUCGAACGAGAAAGUGGGCUUCGGCCCACGAGUAAAGUGGCAGACGGGUGAGUAACACGUGGGUAACCUACCCGGAGGUGGGGAAUAACUCUUCGAAAGAGGUGCUAAUACCGCAUGAUAUCUCGAGGGCUCGCCUUCGAGAUCAAAGCUAGCCUCUUCAUGAAAGCUAGUGCCACCGGAGGGGCCCGCGGCCCAUUAGCUUGUUGGUGAGGUAACGGCUCACCAAGGCGACGAUGGGUAGCCGGCCUGAGAGGGUGAACGGCCACACUGGAACUGGGACACGGUCCAGACUCCUACGGGAGGCAGCAGUGAGGAAUCUUGCGCAAUGGGCGAAAGCCUGACGCAGCGACGCCGCGUGGAGGACGAAGGCCUUCGGGUCGUAAACUCCUGUCAAGUGGGACGAAUGCCGUGGGGAUGAAUAAGCCCUGCGGUUGACGGUACCACUGAAGGAAGCCCCGGCUAACUCCGUGCCAGCAGCCGCGGUAAUACGGAGGGGGCCAGCGUUGUUCGGAAUUAUUGGGCGUAAAGGGCGCGUAGGCGGCCUGGUAAGUCAGACGUGAAAUCCCUCGGCUCAACCAAGGAACUGCGUUUGAUACUGCCGGGCUUGAGUCCCGGAGAGGGUAGCGGAAUUCCCAGUGUAGCGGUGAAAUGCGUAGAUACUGGGAGGAACACCGGUGGCGAANGCGGCUGCCUGGACGGGUACUGACGCUGAGGCGCGAAAGCGUGGGGAGCAAACANNANUAGAUACCCUGGUAGUCCACGCUGUAAACGAUGGGCACUUGGUGUUGCGGGUAUCGACCCCUGCAGUGCCNAANCUAACGCAUUAAGUGCCCCGCCUGGGGG